AGAGCAAAACUUCUAAGAAAAAAAGAGGGCAAAUCGGCCAAGGAGGGAGUAAAAUUUCUCCUUCAAAUUUCAUCCCAAAAAUUAUAAUUUCUUGGUAUUUCCACUAAAUCAAGGGUCCUCUAUAACAUGGUAAAUUUAUUUUGGAAGAUAGAAGGCUUGUUUGGUUGAUUUGGGGCUUUGAUUAAGUGAAGAAGUUAGAAGGAAAAAAUUUUGGAGGAAACGGGAAUUGAACUUGGACAACCGUAAAAGGCCAAAAAGAGAUAUUCCCUACUCUGGUGUUAUGCUGUGUCGUGGUGCCGAUGAUGGGAGGGCAACCACACUUUGUUCACCGAGUCCAUAAUGGGGUCGGAUAUGGCAUAUGUCUGUGCAUAUAUGGUUUGAGAUUUUGAUAAGCAUUUUGAAAUUCUGAACGUUGAUUUCAUGUUUUGCAUAUAUUAUUCAGAUUAUGAUUUUAUAUAUUACAGUGCAUGCUUUACAUAUUUGGUACAUUUUUCGUACUGACCCCCUUUCUUCGGGGGGCUGCGUUACAUGCCCGCACGUACCGAAGUUCGAUUUGCUGAUCCAUCUGUUUAGGAUAUUUAUUGCGUCGUUGACAGUGCUCCCUUGUUCGGAGCUUGUAUUUUGGUACUGUCUUUAUCUCUGUAUAUUUGGAUAUUUUGGUCAGGGGUACGACGGGACCCUAUCCCGUCAUAUGACUAUGCUAUCAUCUGUAGAGGUCUGUAGACAGAGUUAUGUUGUGGGUUUUGUAUAUAUGGUUUGGGUUUUGUGUGUUUUGUGACGGCCUAUCAGCCCUCGUG
Molecule: long non-coding RNA, 797 nt
Organism: Solanum dulcamara
Lineage: Eukaryota; Viridiplantae; Streptophyta; Magnoliopsida; Solanales; Solanaceae
Exons: 3
Source: RefSeq, a predicted model, not a curated record